Molecule: ribosomal RNA, 296 nt
Filed under: Plasmodium cf. malariae type2
Lineage: Eukaryota; Apicomplexa; Aconoidasida; Haemosporida; Plasmodiidae
Description: partial 18S ribosomal RNA
Rfam family: Eukaryotic small subunit ribosomal RNA
Source: RNAcentral
GAGACAAACAACUGCGAAAGCAUUUGCCUAAAAUACUUCCAUUAAUCAAGAACGAAAGUUAAGGGAGUGAAGACGAUCAGAUACCGUCGUAAUCUUAACCAUAAACUAUGCCGACUAGGUGUUGGAUGAUAGAGUAAAAAAUAAAAGAGACAUUCAUAUAUAUGAGUGUUUCUUUUAGAUAGCUUCCUUCAGUACCUUAUGAGAAAUCAAAGUCUUUGGGUUCUGGGGCGAGUAUUCGCGCAAGCGAGAAAGUUAAAAGAAUUGACGGAAGGGCACCACCAGGCGUGGAGCUUGCG